CUUGGCCUCCCAAAGUGCUGGGAUUACAGGUGUGAGCCACCGUGCCCAGCCCUCCAAAUUUUUUUUUUUUGGAGACAGUUUCCCUCUUGUUGCCCAGGUGAAGUACAAUGGCAUGAUCUCGGCUCAGUGCAACCUCCACCCCCUGGGUUCAAGAGAUUCUCUUGCCUCAGCCUCCCGAGUAGCAGGGAUUACAGGUGCUCACCAACACGUCCCGGUAAUUUUUGCAUUUUUAGUAGAGACGGGGUUUUGCCACGUUGGCCAGGCUGGUCUCAAAACUCCUGACCUCAGGUGAUUCACCCACCUCGGCCUCCUAGUGCUGGGAUUACAGGCGUGAGCCAUCGCAAUUGGCAAUUUUUUUUUUUUUUCUUGAGACAAGGUCUUGCUCUGUCACCCAGGCUGGCAAUAUCAUGGCUCACUGCAGUCUCAAACUUCUGGGCUCAGGCAAGCCUCCUGAGUAGCUGGGACUACAGGUGUAUGCCACCACACCUGGCUAAUUAAAAAUUUUUUUUUUUUUUGUAGAGACGGGGUCUCACUAUGUUGUCCAGGCUGGUUCUGAACUCCCGGACUCAAGCAAUCCUCCCACCUAGGCCUCCCAAAGUGUUAGGUUUACAGGUGUGAGUUACCAUGUCUGGCUUCCAAAAUAUGAAGUUUGGGAGGACAUAAACAUUUAGUCUAUAACAUAUAUUAAGUUGGUACACUACAAAGUAAGCAAAAGUAUAUACAUCCAAAUAGCUGGGAAAAGGUGAGAGCAUUAAGGACAAGCAAACAUGUGACUGUUUCUAGCCAUUUGCCAGAUUUACCUAUGAGCUUAACAAUGAAGCUAGAACUGAACCAAGCUACUGUUUUCUGACUAAAGAGAUGUCUUCGUAAGCAGUAAUGUGGGGUAACCCAUAAUGAGGAAAACUUAGUCAUAAAGGAGAAAAGCAAGAGAAACAGAGAAUUAGCAGGAUUUUUUUUUUUUAAAAAGAAUGAAUUCAUGAAACAUGAAAAAUGAAUGAAUUCGUGAAAACGGCAAAACAUAUUUUUACCAUUUCCGAUAUGUACAGUGACAAGUUCUUUUGAUACCAUGCCCUAGACUGUGUAUUACCCAUCUAUUCAGCAGUUAUCUCAACAGGUAUCAUGACAUUUUCAAAACCAAAAACUGAGUUUUUUUUUUUUUUUUUUUUUUUUUUAGAUGGAGUCUCGCUCUGUUGUCCAGGCUGGAGUGCGAUGGCACUAUCUUGGCUCACUGCAAACUCCGCCUCCCGGGUUCAAGCAAUUCUCCUGCCUCAGCCUCCUGAGUAGCUGGGAUUACAGGCGCCUGCCACCAUGCUCUGCUAAUUUUUGUAUUUUUAGUAGAGACAGGGUUUCACCAUGUUGGCAAGGCUGGUCUUGAACUCCUGACCUCAGGUGAUCUGCCUGCCUUUGGCUUCCCAAAGUGCUGGGAUCCAAAAUAGUUUUAAUUAACUUUGACUGAGGAAUAGAUAUCACCUAGUUGGUUUUUUUUUUUUUUUUGGAAGGAAAAAAGUGAUACCAAAAUAUCUUAACACUUAUAAGGAGUCAAAAGUCCAAAACCAUUUAGAAAUUAAUUGAUUUUUUAAAAGCCUUAAGUGGCUGAGUGCGGUGGCUCAUGCCUUUAAUCCCAGCCCUUUGGGAGACUGAGGUGGGCAGAUCACCGGAGGUCAGGUGUUCCAGACCAGCCUGUCUAACAUGGCAAAACCCUGUCUCUACUAAAAAAUACAAAAAUUAGCCCGGUGUGGUAGAGCACAACUGUAGUCCCAGCUACUCAGGAGGUGCACGCCAACAUGUCCGGUGGAAGGAUGGCUUGAGCCUAGGAAUUUGAUGCUGCAGCAAGCUGUGAUACUGUGCCACUGUACUCCAGCUGGGGUACAGAGAGACACUACCUCUAAAUAAAUAACCUUAAGUGUUUUUUCCAAAGAUAUUGCUUAUGACUUUCAAAAGAGAUAUACAGAGUGGUGGCUGCAGUGGCUCAAGCCUAUAAUCCUAGCACCUUAGAAGGCUGAGGCAGGUGAUCACUUGAAGUCCAGAGUUUGAGGCCAGCCUGGCCAACAUGGUAAAACCCCAUCUCUACUAAAAAUACAAAAAUUAGCCAGGUGUGGUGGUAGGCGCCUGUAAUCCCAGCUACUUGGGAGGCUGAGGCUGGAGAAUCUCUUGAACCCAGGAGGCGGAGGCUGCACUGAGCAGAGAUCGUACCACUGUACUCCAGCCUGGGUAACGUAGUGAGACUCUGACUCAAAAAAGGGGUAUAGUCACUUAAAUUUGUGUAGAUCAGGCACUAUUAGCACAGUUUUCCAGAUAGUACUGAUUACUUAAACAUGUCAAAAUAAUUAUUACUAGUAGUUGAGUCCUUACUUUUCUAAGCACUUUAUAUUUAUUUAGUCCUCUCAAAUACAAGGUAGAUUCUAUCAUAUUCCCCAUUUUAUAGGGGGGAACUGAAGUAUAGAGAUUAUGCAACUUCCAAGCAGCUGGGCCUCAAAGAUUAAGAUGCUCUAGAAAUCAUGAUUUGUAAAAUGAAUAAGAAGUUUGGCAAGUCAGAGACCCACAGGCCAUAUCUCUUUUCCUCCUCCUGCUACUUUUACUCCAAGUAACUCAGAUAAUUAUUCCUGAAAAUCUUUCUUCACACCCUGAUAAAAAUCCCCAGUUUAGAUGGAAUUCAUAGCCCAAUAUCCCUUUCUCCCUCCCUGUACCACCUCAGCACUGAAGCAAGAUUAAUUAAACAUCUUUUUUUUUUCUUGAGUCUUACUCUGUAGCCCAGGCUGGUGCAGUGGUGUGAUCCUGGCUCACUGCAGCCUCAACCUCCUGGCCUCAAGCAAUCUUCCCACCUCAGGAUGAGUAGCCGUCACUACAGGCAGCACCACCAUGCCCGACUAAUUUUUGUAUUUUUUUGUAGAGAUGGGAUUUUGCUCUAUUGCCCAGGUUGGUCAAAAAUCAUUUUCAGUUCCUGUAUCAGGGAACUUUUUAAAAAAAUUAGUGAUUUUUUCCUCCUUACCAUGUUAAUUUUCUGCAACUCAAACAAAGGCUGAAGUAUCCUUUUAGAUUCUACUAAGCUUGCACAUUUGCCCAAAAAAAGUGUGGGUGGAGCUGUUUAUAGUCAUUCCAGGUUCCUCUCCAGGUUUGCUGGUCAUUUGACAACCUAAGCAACCAUGUUUUUACUAGUUGUAGGUGUGUAGCUGCAGGAGCAGCAGCAGAAAAAUUCUAUAUCCUGAACAAAUUCUGUCAACUGAACCCCAUUUCUCUCAAUUUAACCAAAUGAUAUUGUUACUGUUCCUGAAAAUAUUAAUUAAGACUUGAAAUAAUCUGCCCUUCAAAAGCUGGUAGGUAAAAAUCCAAAAACUUGGCAGCACUCUAAUCCAUCAGCAAUGCUGGGGUGAAAACAUUUAGUACAUAGAGGGCAAAUUAAAAAUACAUAUAUGCCUUUUUGCAGAGCAAUUCCACCUGUGGAAACUGAGAUGAGACAUAUUUAAAUAUACAAGGAAAGAUGUACAUCCAAGGAUAAUCAUUCAAGCACUAGAGUACAAAAGAAACUCAAUGUCCCUAAACUGGGUGAUAACCAAAUAAUGUGCAGUGGUUAAGAAAAAAUGUCGCCUUUUUGCACUGAGAUGGAAAAGCCAUCUCAAGUCCAAUGUGCAGAAGGGUUUGUACGGUAUUUUCUCCUACAUAAAAAUGGGGGAGGGGGAAUAAGAACAUUUAUUCUCACAUAUGUAUGUAUGAAAAAAUGUGUAUGUGGAAAAAUAUACAAGAGGCUGGGCACUGUGAUUCAUGCCUGUAACUCCACUUUGGGAGGCCGAGGCAAGCGAUCACCUGAGGUCAGGAGUUCAAGACCAGCCUGGCCAACAUGGUGAAACCCCGUCUCUACUAAAAAUAUAAAAAUUAGCCGGGCGUGGUAGCACGCGCCUGUAGUCCCAGCUACAUGGGAGGCUGAGGCAGGAGAAUUGCUUGAACUCGGGAGACGGAGGUUGCAGUGACCCAAUAUCACGCCACUGCACCCCAGCCUGGGCGACAGAUCGAGACUAUGUCUCAAAAAAAAAAAAAAAAAAAAAAAAGAAAGAAAGAAUAUGCAAGAAACAAAAAGUAGAGGUUACUUCAGUAGUGAUAACUGGAUGGGUGGAAGUGAUGAUUAAAAAAUUUUUUUUGAACCAGUGAAUGCCUUAUCUAUUCAAAUAAUUUUUAAAAAUUGGCUAGAAGCUCUAAUCAACCAACCAACAACUAUUAAAUGCCUGCUUGUCUUAAAAUAGAGUCUACAGGCUAGGUAGCCCAAAUGCAACCUUAACUCUGAGAUACAAAAUAUAAGGUUGAAUGAGUGGCUGUGCCUAAACAAUUUCUGGAAAUCAAAGUUCUUGGUGCCUCUGGGGAAUUCUGAUAUCAGUGACUUGGCCAAAGAAUUUCACUUGCUUACUGGUGGUCUUCUCUAGAACUCACGAGCAGGGAGACAAAUGGAGAUAGGGUGAGAUGCUCACCCAACAAAGUGAAAAAUUUUCAGCAGUGUGUCUGCCAAAAAUCCACACAUUAUUCAUCUGCAAACCUAAAAACAGGUAGGAAGGAACCAGUAAUUGUUUUAUGGUACAGAAUUUUUAAAAAAUUUUCUUUAAUGUUAUAAUGCUAUUUGUAUGGUAAAUGAGUUUAAUAAAUCUGAUAAGAAAAAGUCUUCCUCAUUGAUUACAGUAGUUUAUACAUUUUAAGGAGAUACUGAUGCUUUUCAAAAGGCAUGUGUUCAUCACCAGGAUAAGUUAUCUUUCAUUCCAAGUAUUAAUGACCUUUGAUUGGCAAAACCAUAUUGAUCUUUUCUCUUAGAAUUUCAGGUGACUAAAACUGCACUGUAAACACAGUGAACAAAAUUAAAUAACACUGCAGUGUUUCCCAAUGUGCAGGAUCCAUACCACUGGUGAUAAUCAACAUAGGCAGUACAUGAACAAAGCAGUAAAUAACAUUGAAUCACACAGCAAGAAAGUUAUUCCUGUUUACAGGCCAGGCGUGGUGGCUAAUGUCUGUAAUCCCAACACUUUGGGAGGUCAAGGUGGGUGUCUCGCUUGAGCUCAGGAGUUCAAGACUAGCCUGGGCAACAUGGCAAAACCCCAUCUCUACCAGAAAUACACAGAAUUAGCCAGGCAUGGUGGCUGCGCUUGUAGUUCUAGCUGCUAAGGAGGCUGAGGUGGGAGAAUCACCUGAGCAUGGGAAAUCCAGGCUGCAGUGAGCUGAGAUCUUGCCACUGCACGCCAGCUUGGGCAACAGAGUAAGACCGUGUCUCAGAGAAAAAAAAAGCUAUUCUUCAUUCAAGCCUUGAGAUUCGAAGUGCUUGGUUGGCAAGAGUAUCUAGAUAGAAUUUAAUAACUGGUUUGUUUUCAUUAUACUAAUUUUUACAUUUACUAUCUUGACUUUUUCCCCCCUUAUUGACAGGCGUUUACAUUUGUCUGGAUUACCCACAUUCACAGACGCGUUAAGACAGGAGUGCAGGUGCUGCUAUGUUAUGGGAACCCCUUAGUCAAAAAACACAAAAAUCCAAUGGUCUUUUCCCAGGGCUUAUCUUUACUUGAGCUAAAUUCUCCCCAUGGUCUUCUGUAACACACACUUAGCCUCUCCAGGAAUGGUGUAGUACACAGAAUAAACUGGAGUCAAGCUGGUUUUGAAUGCUGGUUCUUUUUACUGCUUUUUGAGUCUACAAAGCCAGUCUAUCAAGUGAGGCUAAAAUUGGCUACCUUGGAAAUGGAAAGGAAUAAAUGAGAUAGUAAAUGUAGAGCAGCUGCCAUACAGUUUAACAGAUGCUCAAUAAAUGCUGAUUUGCUUUCCUCCUUCGCUUCUCCUUCUCUGUCCUUCAGUACUUUUCUCAAUAUUCUCUCUCACUGGUUUCCUUCACUCUCAUGGCUUUAUUACCCUUCUAUGGAUGGGUAACUUCUAAUUUUCUAUCACCAAUUCUGACCUUUUUUCAGAGUACCAAACCUUAGCUUUUGUGUGUUUAAUAAUUCUACCUUGAUAUUCUGGCAUCAUCUUAAACUCAAUCCAUACAAAAUUUCUCUUUCUACAAAAAACUUGAAGGCAGUGGGGGUAAGGUGAGAGAGUCACAGGAGUUGGAGUGAGGAGCCACAAGUUCUUUUUUUUUGUCCACAUCAUGGGAUUUUUUUUUAUAAGUUCACUGGUUUUUAGUCUAUGUUCUAUCUACUCUAAUCACCUGAACAUGUUUCCUAGCUUAAUUUCAUGUUUUUCGUCUGUGAUGGAGUGAUAAAAUGAACAUUUUCUGUUUAUAACUUUUUGCAAGCUUAAAAAAUGCCAUAUAAAAUUGCUAUUGACAUCUGAUUCAACAUGGUGGGAUGAGGGAAGGAGUUAAGGAUGAGAUUUUGAGCCUGAGUUCUGCAGUGUCUUUUGCACCUGUCUCGCCUUUCCUUCACCAUUGUCAUUCCCCAGAAUUCAGGCCUACCUUAUCUUUCACAUUUGUGAUGCAUUUACAGAAAAAUUGGCUCAGUCAGGGAAGUAAUAGUUGGUAGUGUGUAUCCAGCAUUGCUCACGAGUUUUAAAAAUAACCAUGAAAUAUAUAAUAUACAUACUGAAAGUACAUUUUUCUCCAAAAAACCUACUUCUCAUUAAGUCAUAGAGUGCUAACACUCAUGUAAUCCCAGUGUCUUAGAAUGUUCGGCUUAUUUGGCUCACGGUUUUGCAGGCUGUACAAGAAGCAUGGUAGCAGUAUCUGCUUCCAGUGAGGGCUUCAGGCUGCUCACGGUGGAAGGCAGACAGGAGAUGACAUAUGCAGAGAUCACAUGGCGAGAGAAAGGAGAGAGGAGGUGCCAGUCUCUUAAUGAACUCACUCCUUACAGAAUACGAAGCCACUCAUGAGAAAUCCACUCCCACAACCCUUCCCACCAGGCCUCACCUCCAACACUGGGGAUGAAAUUUUAACAUGAGACUUGGUAGGGUCAGACAAACCAAACUCAAGCCAUAGCACCCUACUUAGGAACAGAACAUCAACAGCACUCCAGAAGCACCUAUUACCUCCCAAGCACUACUCCCUGCAAAGCUAACUAUUUCUUUUCUUUAUACUUUUACUACCUAAACAUAUAUCCCUAAAUCUAGAUUGGUUUGCCUGUUUGUUGAACUUCCCAUUUUCCAAAGUGGUUAUACCAAUAUACAUUUCCAGCAGCUGUGUAGUUUCAGUUACUCCAACUCUUGACCAACAUCUGGCAUUUUCUGGGUUUUCCAUUUUAGCCAUUCUGUUGGAUGUGAGAUUAAAAUAUCAUUUAGGUUUUAAUUUGCAUUUCUCUAAUGAUUAAAUUAGUUGAGUAUCUUUUACAUGUUUAUCGGCCAUCUACACGCCCCUUUUAUAUUUUUUAAGAAACUAAUAUUUAGAUACCCUUUUUUGUGAGGUGACUGUUUAAGUUUCUACCUUUUUUUUUUUUUUUUUUUUUGAGAUGGAGUCUUGCUUUGUCGCCCAGGCUGGAGUGCAGUGGCACGAUCUUGGCUCACUGCAACUUCUGCCUCCUGGGUUCAAGCAAUUCUCCUGUCUCAGCCUCCCGAG
RNAcentral lists this long non-coding RNA (7501 nucleotides) under Homo sapiens (human). RNAcentral's name for it is "HSALNT0381298". Lineage: Eukaryota; Metazoa; Chordata; Mammalia; Primates; Hominidae. The record is from RNAcentral.